This 301-nucleotide ribosomal RNA is filed under the name uncultured bacterium. RNAcentral describes it as "partial 16S ribosomal RNA". It matches the Rfam family "Bacterial small subunit ribosomal RNA", at positions 509 to 809 of the family's 1533-position model. The record is from RNAcentral.
CAGCAGCCGCGGUAAUACGAAGGGUGCAAGCGUUAAUCGGAAUUACUGGGCGUAAAGCGUGCGUAGGCGGUUUGUUAAGUCUGCUGUGAAAUCCCCGGGCUCAACCUGGGAAUGGCAGUGGAUACUGGCAAGCUAGAGUGUGUCAGAGGAUGGUGGAAUUCCCGGUGUAGCGGUGAAAUGCGUAGAGAUCGGGAGGAACAUCAGUGGCGAAGGCGGCCAUCUGGGACAACACUGACGCUGAGGCACGAAAGCGUGGGGAGCAAACAGGAUUAGAUACCCGUGUAGUCCCUGUCUCUUAUCC